UUUGAUGGCGACCGGCGCACAGGUGAGUAACACGUAUCCAACCUGCCGAUAACUCGGGGAUAGCCUUUCGAAAGAAAGAUUAAUACCCGAUGGCAUAAUAGAACCGCAUGGUUUGAUUAUUAAAGAAUUUCGGUUAUCGAUGGGGAUGCGUUCCAUUAGGCAGUUGGUGGGGUAACGGCCCACCAAACCUUCGAUGGAUAGGGGUUCUGAGAGGAAGGUCCCCCACAUUGGAACUGAGACACGGUCCAA
RNAcentral lists this ribosomal RNA (249 nucleotides) under uncultured bacterium. RNAcentral describes it as "partial 16S ribosomal RNA". It matches the Rfam family "Bacterial small subunit ribosomal RNA", at positions 84 to 334 of the family's 1533-position model. The record is from RNAcentral.